RNAcentral lists this long non-coding RNA (1084 nucleotides) under Panax ginseng (ginseng). RNAcentral's name for it is "long non-coding RNA (PGIN_LNC009391)". The record is from RNAcentral. Lineage: Eukaryota; Viridiplantae; Streptophyta; Magnoliopsida; Apiales; Araliaceae.
UAAAAUUAUAUAUUGUCAUGCUAUUUUAUAAUGUAUUGAGAAACUUCAACAGUCACAGACCAUCACUCUAUUUCCCUGCUAUCCCCGCUCGACCCAGCUACACUCUUAUUACUUGAAAGGAAUUGUGAAGCAAAAAGGGUUAGCUCAACUAGUCUAGUAAAGAAUAUUAUGACUUAAAUAAUGUGGAACAAUUUAUCCUUAGUCCUCAGCAGGGAAAAAUCUGAUAGAAUACAAUAGACAACAAGUUUUAGAUUAACAACUGCAGCGAAAACAACAAUCCAUUAGAAGAGUCAAGUAGAACAUAAUGUCUACUAUCUCCUCCAAAUUAAAAGUCCAUUAAUAUUUUAUCCCAAGACAAAGAGAACUUUCAUCACCUAUCUUUUCCUGAACCACCAAAGAUUAUAGUUAAAUUCACAAUUCAUGUUUAUAAUAAUGUAAAUCAACAGUUUGUCCUUGCCACAAAGUCUUAAUAGAACUUUCACUCAAUAUCCUUGCCCCAAAGGCUAAAGACAUUCAAAUGUAAUAACAAUGAUCAUACCAAUCAAUUGUCUAUCUUUGCACUACGGGCCAAAGAUAUUCAACUAUAAAACCAAUGGUCAUGAUUAUGCCAAUCAAUUGUCUGUCAGUGCACUACGGCCAAAAACAUUCAACUACAAAACUAAUGGUUAUGAUCCUGCAAAACAAUAGUCUAUCUUUGCAGUACAGGCCAAAGAUAUUUAUUUUUAUCAUCAGUGGUCAUGAUCAUGUCAUACACAUGUCCAUCUUUGCACUACGGGCCAAAGAUACACAACCGUAAAACCAAUAAUCAACAGUUCAUCUUUGCACUACGGGCCAAAUAUGUGACGCCCCCAAAAUAGGUCCAUUCCAUCCAACCCAUUCUGAGUCGCCAAAUAUAUGGUACAGAAACAACUACAACUUCAUUAAUACAAUUGUCGUGCAAAAUACGACAACACAUAAACUGUGAGUUUUAAUACAAAUAUUAUCUUCUAGACAAUAUCCACACUCAAAUAAGUCAUCAUUACAAUUAUUGAUACACUAUUUUACAAAAUAGUGAGGACUAUUAAAACAACUGUCUUGAACCAGU